RNAcentral lists this ribosomal RNA (338 nucleotides) under uncultured bacterium. Its description in RNAcentral is "partial 16S ribosomal RNA". It matches the Rfam family "Bacterial small subunit ribosomal RNA", at positions 338 to 668 of the family's 1533-position model. The record is from RNAcentral.
CCUACGGGAGGCAGCAGUAGGGAAUCUUCCACAAUGGGCGCAAGCCUGAUGGAGCCACGCCGCGUGAGUGAAGAAGGUCUUCGGAUCGUAAAACCCUGUUGUUAGAGAAGAAAGUGCGUGAGAGUAUCUGUUCACGUUUCGACGGUAUCUAACCAGAAAGCCACGGCUAACUACGUGCCAGCAGCCGCGGUAAUACGUAGGUGGCAAGCGUUAUCCGGAUUUAUUGGGCGUAAAGGGAACGCAGGCGGUCUUUUAAGUCUGAUGUGAAAGUCUUCGGCUUAACCGGAGUAGUGCAUUGGAUACUGGGAGUCUUGAGUGCAGUAGAGGUGGGUGGAACU